UACGGGGGGUGCAAACGUUGCUCGGAAUUAUUGGGCGUAAAGCGCACGUAGGCGGUCCUGUAAGUCGGGUGUGAAAGCCUCAGGCUUAACCUGGGAAGUGCACUCGAAACUGUAGGGCUUGAGUAUGGAAGAGGGUCUCGGAAUUCCCGGUGUAGAGGUGAAAUUCGUAGAUAUCGGGAGGAACACCAGUGGCGAAGGCGGAGACCUGGGCCAAUACUGACGCUGAGGUGCGAAAGCGUGGGGAGCAAACAGG
This 253-nucleotide ribosomal RNA is filed under the name uncultured bacterium. RNAcentral describes it as "partial 16S ribosomal RNA". It matches the Rfam family "Bacterial small subunit ribosomal RNA", at positions 524 to 776 of the family's 1533-position model. The record is from RNAcentral.